AUACGGAGGGUGCAAGCGUUAUGCGGAAUCACUGGGCGUAAAGGACGCGUAGGCGGGUUGGCAAGUCAGAUGUGAAAUCCUACAGCUCAACUGUAGAACUGCACUUGAAACUACAGACCUAGAGUAUGGAAGGGGCAGAUGGAAUUAGUGGUGUAGGGGUAAAAUCCGUAGAUAUCACUAGGAAUACCGAAAGCGAAGGCGAUCUGCUGGGACAUUACUGACGCUGAGGCGUGAAAGCGUGGGGAGCAAACAGGAUUAGAUACCCUAGUAGUCC
RNAcentral lists this ribosomal RNA (274 nucleotides) under uncultured bacterium. RNAcentral's name for it is "partial 16S ribosomal RNA". It matches the Rfam family "Bacterial small subunit ribosomal RNA", at positions 523 to 796 of the family's 1533-position model. The record is from RNAcentral.